UGGUACUUGAGGAUCGUUGUGGUGACCUUGAAGCUAACUUUUUUUAAUCUCUCCUUAAAGCACUUUCUUACAUGAUGGCAAAAGCAUCUCAAGGCAUUGGUAUGUUGAUGCGUUUUUUACAUUUUGCAGCACAGGUGCUUUGUAUGCAUUUCAGCUGCUUUGUGUUAUGUUCUAUUAAGACCUUAAAAUUAACAGAUUGUUUUUUACACUUUAGCCUAGUUUGGCAGCCUCAAGAUGCAAUUUCAUUAUUUUGUUGCUUCUAUACUUACUAUAGUCGGAACUUAAUCAGUUAAUCUUCAAUGCCCCCUGAGUACAACCGCCUCAUGUAUUGUUUGCUUAAUUAGAACAUUGUUGCUUCCUGACAUAGUUGCAUCAUGAACCCUGAUAUGUCUUGAUAAGAAGAUGACUAAUAUGUAUACCAUGCAUCGAAAAAGAAAAAAAGAAAAGAAAAUAAUGCCUAAUGAUUUUUUUCACCUCCUUUUCCUACAUUGUCUACUGGAACCUGAAGGGAUUGAAUGUUGCCUCGAUCCAGAGUUGCCUCACACGUUAUUGUUGAAAACUUUCAAUACUCGGCUGGCGCUUUUAGUGGUCCAAUAUAUAGUUUAGUAAAGCCUUCAACUGCAAUUUUGCCAGGUAUAGAGAUUUUUCAGCUGGUUGCACAAGUUGGGUGCCUAACAAAAUCAUACUUUGUACCUUAGCCUUUGAAGCUUUUUUAAGUGAGGAAGGGGCUAGGCCUUCCAUGGAUUUGGAUGAUACAUAUUUGUGGACCCUAAAUCUUGAUGGGCGAGUCUACGAUGUUCGGCUAUAGUUUACAUUCCUGUGACUGUAUGGCUGAAUAGUUUUAUUCCACUUGGAUUCGUCAUAGGGAAUUGAUUUGGGGACCAUAAAAUUCAAAAGGAAUCCAAUUGCUCCGGCUCGUGGCCUCGGGCUUCAGGAUUUGGUCACAAGAUCCGGGCUUGUGGUUUUAUAUAUUGAAAGGGGUUUGGCGAGUGCAAGUCUCCAAGAGUCAUAUCCUAUGAUCCAACCCAGUUCAUCGAAAAUAUCACCCGCUCACAGCAUAUCUGCCCCAAAUGUUGCAUCCAUUCAAACAUUGAGAUUUUUUUCUUCCUUGCUCCGAGUCAAACACCAUGGUUAUCACUUUUCACCAUGACUGAUUCAUUGAUUUCCAGAUCUACCUACUAAUAAUUGAUUGGUUUUCAUGAGGGUGAUGGUUAUCAUAGCUUGAACGAAGGUCGUCCAAAGCUCCCUUUGUGCACCGGUUAUCAGAGGGACUGUCAAUGUAGCUUGAGAUAUAUGACUUCACUUUGGUUCUGCCAAUGAGGUACUGGACCUUUUGUCGACAGUAUAUCUGUGGAAAAGUGGCAGAAUGGCGAAGUUUGAAAUGUCAAAGAGCAUAUAGUAAAAAAGUGGACGAUUCCAUCUAGAGAAGCCACCACAAUCAACUAGGCUUUUUCUACUUUGUCAGAAACACUGAAGUCCAGUGCUGCAGUUUUGUUUGGGAGAAAAUACUUUCUCUGAAAGUGCUGCAGUCUUCUAUUGGAUCGUCUUGAAGGGUUAGCAUUGAAAGAGGGAUGAAGGGGUGGCCAUCUCUUCAAGCGAGCAGGUUGACGGAUUGGUUGAGUUGACAUGGAGUGGUGAGAUGUUUUGCUGUGGAUGACACAAGCCUUGUGCAAGGCCAUGUAUAAUUAGACUAUAUGUGACAGAUUGGCAAUGGGAUUUUACUAGGGUGGGAAUAAACUUAUUAUGUGCAGAUUUUAAACAAUGCGUGGAGGCCGAGUUCACAGGACUGUGGCAGAGAACAUUGUGCGUCUAUUUGAGGAGGAAGUCAUUGUGCUUUGGAGAUGCAUUGAUUACUGGGUGACUGCUGGACGUCGAAAGCAUGAACUCAUUGUGCAUUAAAGUAAGACCUGAGAAUUGAGAUUGCUUUUUACUUGGUAAUGGUGUCAAUUUUGUCUGGAAGGGACCUGACUUUUCACUUGUCGCCAAAGUAACUAGUGGAGGUAGUUUCUAAAUUAAGUUUGAACUGAUAAAUUUCUCCUCCUUUUUUUUUUUUAAAGAGGGACAAAUGUAUCCUCAAACAUUGCAAAUGCAAGUUAAACUACUUCUUUGCCACUAACUGACAAAUUUAUCCUCAAA
Molecule: long non-coding RNA, 2136 nt
Organism: Rhododendron vialii
Lineage: Eukaryota; Viridiplantae; Streptophyta; Magnoliopsida; Ericales; Ericaceae
Exons: 2
Source: RefSeq, a predicted model, not a curated record